UGCCCCCUGAUUUUUAUAAUUGAAGGGCUGCAGUAUAUUGACUGUACAAAGGUAGCAUAAUCAUUAGUCUCUUAAUUGGUGACUAGUAUGAAAGAUUGGAUGAAAUAUAUACUGUCUCUUUAUUAAUUUAUAAAAUUUAAUUUUUUAUUUAAAAAGUUAAAAUUAUUUAAAAAGACGAGAAGACCCUUUAGAGUUUAAUAGUUAGUAUUAAUGAUAUUUAUUUAUAAAUUUAUUUAUUUCAUUAGUUUUUACUAUUGUGUUGGGGUGAUAAAAAAAUAUAAUUAACUUUUUUUAAAUAAUAUCAUAAAUAAGUGAUUUUUUGAUCCAAUUUUAUUGAUUAUAAGAUUAAAUUACCUAAGGGAUAACAGCGUAAUUUUUUUUUUUAGUUCAAAUAAAAAAAAGAGUUUGCGACCUCGAUGUUGGAUUAAGAUAAAAUUUAAAUGCAAAAGUUUAAAAUUUUUGAUCUGUUCGAUCAUUAAAAUCUUACGUGAUCUGAGUUCA
Molecule: ribosomal RNA, 501 nt
Filed under: Synchlora sp. BOLD:AAA8283
Lineage: Eukaryota; Metazoa; Arthropoda; Insecta; Lepidoptera; Geometridae
Description: partial 16S ribosomal RNA
Rfam family: Archaeal large subunit ribosomal RNA (bases 361-501)
Source: RNAcentral